AAUCAGAAGCCAAAUUGAACACAAUUUCGUGGCUGAAGAAAAAAAAUCCUAUACCAAAGACUAAAAUUUCACAUAAUACUGACUAAAUCGCUUGCCCCAACUCAAGUUUUCAUAUCAUAGUGAAAUGUAAAACCAUAAUCUUUAUUCAACUUGAAGAAUUUUUGAGGAAAACUAACCAAUGUAAACUAUAUCAUACCUUUAAUCGAUUGGACAAAGG
Molecule: unclassified non-coding RNA, 217 nt
Filed under: Hevea brasiliensis (rubber tree)
Lineage: Eukaryota; Viridiplantae; Streptophyta; Magnoliopsida; Malpighiales; Euphorbiaceae
Source: RNAcentral